AAGCUCAUUAAUAUUACCAUACCAGGCACAAAACGUGAGUAAACUACUUCUAUAAGACACUGAACAGAUGAUCAUAAGGUGAUGGUACAAAGCAAUUAUUCAUUUGAAAACUUUGAGCAUUAAAUAUUGAUAACACAAACACUGCUUUAGCAUAGCGCAAAACGUGAGUUGUUCUUGUUAUAUUUUUCCACAUGACUUAAAAAAAA
Long non-coding RNA from Thalassophryne amazonica, 206 nucleotides. RefSeq lists it as uncharacterized. NCBI's taxonomy places the organism in Eukaryota, Metazoa, Chordata, Actinopteri, Batrachoidiformes, Batrachoididae. The transcript has 2 exons. The record is from RefSeq and is a predicted model, not a curated record.